This 76-nucleotide small RNA is filed under the name Morganella morganii. RNAcentral describes it as "isrK". It matches the Rfam family "isrK Hfq binding RNA". Lineage: Bacteria; Pseudomonadati; Pseudomonadota; Gammaproteobacteria; Enterobacterales; Morganellaceae. The record is from RNAcentral.
GCACCAGCAAAAUCUGGUGCCGGGAUUUGCACCCCGCCGAAUACUCACAGCGCAUAACCGCGUUAGCGGUUUUUUU